Molecule: long non-coding RNA, 978 nt
Filed under: Homo sapiens (human)
Lineage: Eukaryota; Metazoa; Chordata; Mammalia; Primates; Hominidae
Description: HSALNT0325311
Source: RNAcentral
AUCCGAGAAGCAGUUUUAGCUUGGCUCCUCUGCAGUCUUGUUACAGGUAGUUAGGUAGGCGUGAGCAGGGCAGGAGACGGCUUCCCAUCCCACCCCAACUAGAAAUGUCGGUGACGGUUUGGCAUUGUCUCUCUAAAAAGUGUAAUUCCGCAACCAGGGAGAGACAAUCUCCUGAUGGUCCACACCUGUUAACAUUAAAAGUUGUUAACUGAAUACAGACUCCAGGGAGAAACAGCUUCCCGGGAAUGCACAUUAAAACACAAAAAAUGGCUAAGUAUGAUCUUCCGGUUCCAUGCCACCGGGGAAAAAGGAAGAAAUCCUCAGAUGGGCAUGCGUACAACUCCCUAAACACACUGCGCAUGCUCAGUUCCUAAGGGUAAAGAGGGCUCCGCGCAUGCAGGAAGACCACCCUAAGGGAAGAAUCAUGGGAAAGAGGCAGAAAAUUAAAACUGGAUUGCUACCUGGUGCUUCCAUACACUGAAAAGAAAGAACACUCCAAUCUGCCAGCCUUACGAUGUUGGGAAAACGCAUCAAACAGUGCUAAGGUUUUAAGCAUGGAGAAUAUAAUCCAGUUGUAAAGCUAUUAACCCAGAAAAGAUGUCACAUGAAAGUCUGUAAAUAUGAACCACACUCUACUGCCCAGUGAUGGAGAAACCUACUGACUGUGGUGCGCAGAUUCCUAAGACGCCCUCAUGGUAUCCAUGUCCGCAUCAUCUCCUCCCCCUUGAGAGUGGGCUGAACCUGUGACUGGCCUCUAACCAACAGGCUAUCGUGAAGCAAGCCUCCAUCAGUUCUGCAGCUACAAGAAAAUGAGUUCUGCCAACAACCAAGUGAGCACUGAAGAGGACCCUGAGCAUCAGAGGACAGCCUAGCCCUGGCCAAUGCCUUCAUUGCAGCACUGUGAGACCCGAACAAAAGAUCCAGCUAAUGCAUGUUCAGAAUUCUGAUUCCAGGAAACUGUGGAAUAAUAAAUGCUCC